UUUAACUUCUAAAAGAACAAACAUAUAUUACUUUGAGAUUGAAACAAAGAGAAUGCAUACAGCACCCGUGUAAGUGAAGGAAGUGAAAUAACAAUGCUUACUCAACUGAUGUGCAUGGAACUAUAAUAAGAAACUCUAAUGUUGAUAUUCAGGUUUCCUUUCCUUUUGAUCCAAGAGAAAAUUUCCAGAAAGAGGAUAUUCCCCUGUUCCAGCAGACAAACAAAUUGAUAAAUGAUAUAAAUAUAUUACAUUUCACAUUGUCAACCAUCCCUUCAACGCUAGCAUUACAUUAUGCUGCUUGCUUCGACAGCUUACAGUAUCGUACAACAUUGAUUGGUUUUCUUUGCCUGCUUGUAGAACAUCUGCUUCAACAUCCAACAUAGGAUAUUGUGUUAGCAACUUUCAAUAUCAUGCAACUUUCAAUACUGAGCAUGGAACAAGCAUAGCUCAAUUCUAGACUACGAUGAGAAAUAAGAUUAAAAUAAAAUCAUCAUUAUCUUUGUUUGCGAGGACAAAAGGAAAUGUAUUUAAUCCAUUAAUAAGUUGCGCAUAUUUCCUUUUUGACCAGAUGCAUUUUACUUCCAUCUUUUCUUCCUCUAUUAAAGGAUAUGCAUAGGGGCUGUUUCUGUUCCUACUUAUUAUGGGAUAAUUUUGUAAUUGUGAGUUGGAGGAUAACUCUAUAAUAUGUGCUUACAAUAAGAAGGUGGCUCUCUGUAUGUAUCCACAUUGCCUAACCGCUAAAUCGCUUGUGUAAUGUUUUUCUCCUUUUCUGUGAUCAUUAAUUUGUGCUUUUGUGUGUUGCAUGGCCAAUGACAAAAUAUUCACAUGGCCUCAAUUACAUUGGCCAAAGGUGAAAAGAAGUGACAGAUGACAAUUUUGACAUGCACAAAUGUAAGGAAGACUAAAAUACAAAUAAAGAGUUGAUCACAUUUGCUAGGCAUAUAACGAACUAUACUAGCAAAAGAAUGAUGGCAGUGUAUAAAUUCUUGUGAAUGCACCUGUGAAGCAGCACUCAGAUCUGAACUCUUCUCAACUAGGCUGUCUAGUUUCUCACCUCGUGCGAGCACACUGUCAAUAGUUUUAUGCUGUAGCAAAAACAUUUUUUCAGACAAAAGGAUAUCUAUGUCAAAGGGAAAGAUCACAUAAGAAACCAAACGUUAACAAGGUUAAAGGACAGUGAUGGAAAGGCUGCAGUAUUUAGAUAUGAACAGUGAGAAGAAAACGAAAUUCCUUCAUCAUUGUAUCUCCAUGCCAUCCAUGAGUUUCACUACAGCAAUUAAUGUAAGACUUCAACACAACCACAAAACAAAGACAAGUCAAAAGGCUCUUUCAUUUUUCAGUUCUAGCAACUAACAUUUUUACUACAAGUCAAUCACGUCCUUUUAAUUAUCAGUUGUACAGCUAAAAUAGGGGGCACUAGUUUCCCAUGCUCCUAUUCAAGCACAAGCAGAACAUUUGAAUCAAUCAAUUUCCUUUGUACAAGGGGGAGAGACAGAAAGAAUACAAGUGAAAGAGAGAAUCUUUUGUGACCUGGUCACAACCAAAAAGAACAGAGGAAACGGAGAAGAAAUAUAAAAAAGGGAAGGAGGAAAGAGAGAGAGAAAGGGGAAGAGAAUUGAUGAAUCUAGAAUGCCUCGAAAUUACAACUCUCAUCACCAAAAUAUAAGCUAAGCAUUAAUAACUGAAUGUUAACAAAAUCCUCAUCUGGCUAACUCUAAUCCAAUCCUAACAUUACCCUCCCCAUGAAGAUCAUCCUUGCCCCCAAGAAUGAAAAGAAACAGAUCCUUAAUACUAUGCAGAUUGAUCAUUGCUGUCUUUUUUUUUUUUUUUUUUGCUAUGCACAUGCACAUCAUGUUCUCAAAUCUGCAAAGAUAGUCGACACAGAAUGUGGUGAAUGUUGCUUAGGGAGUGGCCCCAAAAUAUCCAAUUGUAAUAGCUGGGGUUAUGGCAAACUGAUGCUUAAACAAGUUCUGGUUUUUCUUUUACAAACCUGAGUUGUUUCAGAUUGUAACUGCCCUUCUAUAUUGACAAGGCAUACAAGUACAUGUUAUGGGCUUUGUCACUUGUCUCCCACAGAUUUAGUGGAUGUUCUUAAUCAUGUCAGCCAAUUCAAUAAGAAAUUUGCAUAUAGUUAUGUUUAAUGUUAAAA
This 2149-nucleotide unclassified non-coding RNA is filed under the name Hevea brasiliensis (rubber tree). Lineage: Eukaryota; Viridiplantae; Streptophyta; Magnoliopsida; Malpighiales; Euphorbiaceae. The record is from RNAcentral.